Molecule: ribosomal RNA, 253 nt
Filed under: uncultured bacterium
Lineage: Bacteria
Description: partial 16S ribosomal RNA
Rfam family: Bacterial small subunit ribosomal RNA
Source: RNAcentral
GACGAAGGAUGCAAGCGUUAUCCGGAUUCAUUGGGUUUAAAGGGAGCGUAGGUGGCCUUAUAAGUCAGUGGUGAAAUCUCUGGGCUUAACCCAGAAAUUGCCAUUGAUACUGUAGGGCUUGAGUAUAGAUGCCGUUGGCGGAAUAUGACAUGUAGUGGUGAAAUACAUAGAGAUGUCAUAGAACACCGAUUGCGAAGGCAGCUCACUAAACUGUAACUGACGCUGAGGCACGAAAGCGUGGGGAUCAAACAGG